AAGACGAUACUUUUAAGGAUCAUUUCUGUGGUCUGUGACGAGAGAAAUCGUGAACUAAAACGUUCGGUCUCACAACCACGAGGAGGAGCUAUGACGUUUUUUCCUGAGCGCGAAGCAGUCCGCAUGCCUUGAUUUAUGCAAUGGUUUACGGGCAAUGAUGACCGUUCCCUUCUCACGCUGCGGGAGUUGUGGAGGAAGGUAAUGCUGUAUAAUGCU
Molecule: small nucleolar RNA, 216 nt
Organism: Pristis pectinata (smalltooth sawfish)
Lineage: Eukaryota; Metazoa; Chordata; Chondrichthyes; Rhinopristiformes; Pristidae
Product: small nucleolar RNA U3
Exons: 1
Source: RefSeq, a predicted model, not a curated record